This is a long non-coding RNA of Harpia harpyja (harpy eagle), 1893 nucleotides long. RefSeq lists it as uncharacterized. Lineage: Eukaryota; Metazoa; Chordata; Aves; Accipitriformes; Accipitridae. The record is from RefSeq and is a predicted model, not a curated record. The transcript has 2 exons.
GUAUGUGGUCACUACACAAGGAAGAUUUCUCCUAGACAAGGAAUUUCAAUACAAAUGUAUUUCACUUCUAUGACCAGCCCCUGCCUUAGCAACAACUUUAUUUAUGCUGCUCAGUGGAAGUGUGUCACAGUUUAAGACUGAAUUGACAGUGAGGAGACUAGAUGGACUUGGAUACUAAAGCACUUCUAGUAACAGAUAAAUAUUUAAUGUUAACAAGUGACAUGACUUCCCUGUUCCGCAGAAGAGACAGUGCAGUCCAGGAGAGAGGCAAAGCGAGUCAAUGUGAUGGUCUCUAACACAACCUGCCUCUCCCGCAGCGGGGGAGAUGGUGCAGCCCAGAAGAAAGUCAGGUGGGUCAGUACAGUGGCCCCAGCCAUGCAGUGGGCAGUCCAGGCACGGGCCCCUGGGGUCCCCACAGCUCACCCUGGGGCUUCUGCUGGACCUCUUCCCCAGCAAUACCCCAUCAGCAGCGCUCACAGCCUGCACUGCUGGGAAGUUCUCCACACCUCGGCAAUGGUGCAGCAAUUAAUGGUUAGUUAUUGGGGAGUAAUUGGAGGGUAAACAGGGUUUAACGAGUCCAAACCCUAUGCCAAACUGUCACAAAGCGGCACGUUGUUCAGGAUUAAGAGGGAAAUGACCUGGUGUUUUUCAAGAGACUGGUUGUGGAACAGUCUGACCCCAGGAACAGCUACUGACAAAACAUGCCAAGGAUACAUCAGGCAGGUGGGUAGGUCCUAGGCACAGUUCAGAUGAGUGCGUCAGGCAGUGCAUUCACAGUGUACCCCCACAGAAAACCACUAGCGUGUGCUCUUGCUAGUUCAGCAAAGUUGUUUGAAAUACAGUUGUGUAAACGUGCAUGAUCUGGCUAAACUUAUACCAUUAGGUGAUCCAGUAGUGUGUAUACUUUUCUUAAAUGCCUUGGAACCAUGGCCUGAAAUUCGUUCACAAUCAAGGCAAUACAAGUAUGUUUAUAACUGUCAUAUUGUACUACCACAAUCCUACUCAAUAAUUUGAUCAGUUAUUUCACAAUUAUGUUAAUGAAUUAUGAUGAAGUUUUAAAAUGCAGUAGAAUAUGGAAAUUACCAUUUUGCAAAUGUAAAUAUGUGAUAUUAAAAUAUGCAAAGUUUGUUUAUACCUUAUUACAACUAUAUACAAUGUGGAAUGUAUAGUGUAAUGGGUAUCAACUUAGUUUCAUUAAUAUUUUAGAUCAAAAUUGCAAAUUACUCUUCUUCCUGUGUAGUUUGCAGAAAACUGAGAGCUGUGAUCACUCAUUUAGGGAUCACUUGAAAUGUGAUGAGCAGUCUAGUUUCUCUUCUUCACCUCCGAACUCCACGGAGGCAGCUGCUUGUAGUUGCAUAAGAACUUUGUCACACAAUCCUACAUGGCUAGGAAUGCAACCACUCAACAUACACAGGUAAGUAUUAAGGAUGAAACCAAUAUAAACAAUAAGCCAGUAACAUGCUGCGCAGGUAGUGUAGUAUGUGAUGAGAAUUAAAUGAAAAGCAACAUGGACAAGGUAGUCUCAAAGAAGACUAAAGAAAAUGCUGGGAGGAGCGUCAGGCUUUCCUCCUAUAUUUACUGCAGUAUGACACAUAGACUGAACGUGUCUGACCGUGCACAUUCAAAGACCAGCAUCUGCCAAGAAGAAAGAAACUCCCUCUGUCUUUCUCUAAUGUAUACAGAAUUGGCUGUCUUCAAGCUAGAUCGCUAUCUACUACUUGGCUCAGGAUAAAUGAUUGCAAAAGACACACUUCCCACACUAAGAACAGCCUAUUUACUAAACAGCUGGAGCUAAUGAGAACGUAGUACACUAAUGUUUGUGACUUGUUCUAUUUCUGGGGUAUACAUUAAUGGUUCUCUACCAGUGCAAAAAGCUUUGAGCAGAGGCACUCA